This 929-nucleotide ribosomal RNA is filed under the name Escherichia coli. RNAcentral describes it as "partial 23S ribosomal RNA". It matches the Rfam family "Bacterial large subunit ribosomal RNA", at positions 1920 to 2843 of the family's 2925-position model. Lineage: Bacteria; Pseudomonadati; Pseudomonadota; Gammaproteobacteria; Enterobacterales; Enterobacteriaceae. The record is from RNAcentral.
CCGGUAAACGGCGGCCGUAACUAUAACGGUCCUAAGGUAGCGAAAUUCCUUGUCGGGUAAGUUCCGACCUGCACGAAUGGCGUAAUGAUGGCCAGGCUGUCUCCACCCGAGACUCAGUGAAAUUGAACUCGCUGUGAAGAUGCAGUGUACCCGCGGCAAGACGGAAAGACCCCGUGAACCUUUACUAUAGCUUGACACUGAACAUUGAGCCUUGAUGUGUAGGAUAGGUGGGAGGCUUUGAAGUGUGGACGCCAGUCUGCAUGGAGCCGACCUUGAAAUACCACCCUUUAAUGUUUGAUGUUCUAACGUUGGCCCGUUAUCCGGGUUGCGGACAGUGUCUGGUGGGUAGUUUGACUGGGGCGGUCUCCUCCUAAAGAGUAACGGAGGAGCACGAAGGUUGGCUAAUCCUGGUCGGACAUCAGGAGGUUAGUGCAAUGGCAUAAGCCAGCUUGACUGCGAGCGUGACGGCGCGAGCAGGUGCGAAAGCAGGUCAUAGUGAUCCGGUGGUUCUGAAUGGAAGGGCCAUCGCUCAACGGAUAAAAGGUACUCCGGGGAUAACAGGCUGAUACCGCCCAAGAGUUCAUAUCGACGGCGGUGUUUGGCACCUCGAUGUCGGCUCAUCACAUCCUGGGGCUGAAGUAGGUCCCAAGGGUAUGGCUGUUCGCCAUUUAAAGUGGUACGCGAGCUGGGUUUAGAACGUCGUGAGACAGUUCGGUCCCUAUCUGCCGUGGGCGCUGGAGAACUGAGGGGGGCUGCUCCUAGUACGAGAGGACCGGAGUGGACGCAUCACUGGUGUUCGGGUUGUCAUGCCAAUGGCACUGCCCGGUAGCUAAAUGCGGAAGAGAUAAGUGCUGAAAGCAUCUAAGCACGAAACUUGCCCCGAGAUGAGUUCUCCCUGACUCCCUGAGAGUCCUGAAGGAACGUUGAAG